Molecule: ribosomal RNA, 492 nt
Filed under: uncultured bacterium
Lineage: Bacteria
Description: partial 16S ribosomal RNA
Rfam family: Bacterial small subunit ribosomal RNA
Source: RNAcentral
AGUGAACGCUGGCGGUAGGCCUAACACAUGCAAGUCGAACGGCAGCACAGUAAGAGCUUGCUCUUACGGGUGGCGAGUGGCGGACGGGUGAGGAAUACAUCGGAAUCUACUUUUUCGUGGGGGAUAACGUAGGGAAACUUACGCUAAUACCGCAUACGACCUACGGGUGAAAGCAGGGGAUCUUCGGACCUUGCGCGAUUGAAUGAGCCGAUGUCGGAUUAGCUAGUUGGCGGGGUAAAGGCCCACCAAGGCGACGAUCCGUAGCUGGUCUGAGAGGAUGAUCAGCCACACUGGAACUUAGACACGGUCCAGACUCCUACGGGAGGCAGCAGUGGGGAAUAUUGGUCAAUGGGCGCAAGCCUGAUCCAGCCAUACCGCGUGGGUGAAGAAGGCCUUCGGGUUGUAAAGCCCUUUUGUUGGGAAAGAAAAGCAGCAGGUUAAUACCCCGCUGUUCUGACGGUACCCAAAGAAUAAGCACCGGCUAACUUCGUG